Molecule: non-coding RNA, 19172 nt
Organism: Oryctolagus cuniculus (rabbit)
Lineage: Eukaryota; Metazoa; Chordata; Mammalia; Lagomorpha; Leporidae
Source: RefSeq, a predicted model, not a curated record
GGGCUGCGGAUGCGUGUGUGCGUGCGGGCGCUAGGGCAGCUGGCGGGUCGGGGACAGCUGGUGCACUUUCUGGGCGCGCUUCCGGGGCGAUCGGGGCUGAUCCCCCCGGGCAGCGGCCAGGGGCUGAGGCUCGGGCUGCCCUGCCUUCGGCCGUCGCCUCCUACCCUUCCAGCGCCUGGCGAGCCCCACGCGCGCUCUCAGCCUUUCCUUUAGGCGUUUUAUUUAGGGGGAUCCGAAGAGGGAGCGACCCGACGCGGGAACUGUGCGUACCUGUACAGCGAGAGGACCGCGAAGGGAAGCACCCGCACUCCGGUUCUCGUAUUUUAAAAGCUCUGUUCCCACUUUGGGUCGGUCGUGAGGGCCAUCUUCUCCGUGUAUCCCAUGCAGUUUCCGGCGGGGCGGGAGAGGUCCUGGCGGGAGCCCGGGCAGCCGGCGGGAUGGGGAAGGAGAAUCUGAUGAGAGUCUGCCGCGCGGUUCCCAAUCUUGCCCUGCAGGCCAGCGGGGUAGCCGCGGACACCUCGGGCAGUUGGGGUCCUGAGCGCUGGGCUGACUUUGUCCCAGCAGGAGCAGCGUGGGGGCGGGGUAGGCCGUGGCUUUGUGGUGUUUGGUUAACAAAGACUUUUUGCAAUUUGGAGUUUGAGGCUGUGGAAAAGUAGCUGAUGACUUAUUUGGCUGCUUUUCGACUUUUGUCUUCAGUCCUUUCUUCCUCUUUUAGCAGGGCUGUCACUGUUAUUACUUGUUGAUCCCUUUGCAAGGUGAGAAGUGCUCUGAAGUUAAUGCAAAUCUACCGCUUGGGGCAGUAACGGGAGCUGUUUUCCUCUGGAAAGUGCUAACAGGAAGAAAAGUUAACACUUUCCCUUUAUCUGAAACUACCAUCAUCUCAAUGCUCCACCCAUGUUGUUACAAUGUAUAGUGUUUUAAUUAAGAUGUCCAAUUAGUUUUCUUAUUUUGGGUUCUGUGUUUAAGCCUAUAACAUUUUUUUUUACAUUGGGAGCAUAUCAGCUAUACAUUUUUAUAAUGACUGUGCUCUGUGGAAGCCUCCAGACAAGUUGUUAGUGUGAGGAGGAGGUAAGAAAGAAAAGGGAAAAGAAAAAAAGUGCCCACACAGUGGGAGUAAAAGAGAUAAAACACUAUUGCUGCCUAAUGUUCAGCAUAAUAAAUUUUUCAAAUGAUGAACCAGGCUUGAGUGACUCACCUGUUCUGUUAGAGUGUCAGCAGAAAUACCAAUUUUUGAAGCUCGUUAAAUGAGGUCACGUAGGAAGUAUAAAAAGUGAAUCCUGGGUAGGAAGAGUAUUAGGGUAGCAGCGUUGCUCCUCUCAACCCCGGUGUGCUGUUUGUUCUUUUCUUUAGCAUAACUUCCUGCCAUAGUGCUUGUUGAUAGAGAAGCAGCUCCUUCAAGCCCUUCAAGCAGCUGUAAGCUCACUCACAUGUUGCGUAACCAUUAAUUGACUUGGAAAUAUCCAGUAUCAGGAUUCCUAGGCUUGUCAGUCUAACUGGCUGUCCAGGGCAGAUCAUUCCUUGUACUGCUACUAAGUUGGUAAGCAAAUUACUUGCACGUUGUCCUUCCACUCCACAGCAUUUCCUAUCUCAUUUUCAAAGCUGUGACAGGCUCCGGGUAGGCAGGUGGUGGUAUUUACACACUGCACAAAUUGCCACUACCAACCAAGACCCACAGCAGAACUCUCUCUAGGGAAGUUUUCCAGUCAGCUGGCCCCAGGGUGAUUAUUUUGAAACAAGAUUAUUUUGAAACAAAAUAUACAUGCUGUAUCCAAAUAAUGGAAGUUGUUCCACACAACCCUCCCUUUUAUGUUAGUAAGGAAAAGGAGGGAAAAAAGGUUCAAAAUGCCUUUUCUGUCCUGGUCCAGCUGCUUCUUCUCACUUCGUUGUUACCCAUCCACUAGGAUUAGCCCUGGAUUUCCUCUGACUUCUUUGUCCUUUCAUUUUUUUAUAUAUUUAUAUUUUAUUUUAUUUAAUGAACAUAAAUUUCUGUCCUUUCAUUUUAAUUAGAUGCAAGUUCAUAUAAGAAUUAGACAGACUGGGUCUCUGAGUUAGGAACGGACUUCAGAGUUACAUAUCUACCUGAUAGCUUGGGUUAGAGAACCUCCAAUCUCAAGAUACUUUCUUAUUCUGGAAUUUAUAUUAUUAGAUAUUGUUUGAAAGAAAUAAGCUAGUAGAAUUUGCCUGUCAUGGAGAUUGGGGUGAAACAAUUAGAUGUGCUGUAAUAUUUUGAGGAGCAUCCAAAUUCAGGGUCCUAGAGGUUCCAGUGUGUGCUUCAACACUUUGACCCUCUUGCUGAGGGGAGACCCAUCUGUAAGCCUCCCCCAUAUGUGUGCACAACAGAUUGUCUCUGCUCAGGAGAGGCUUCGGGUGGGACUUGAAGGACCUUGCAGGUUAGGGGAAAAAUACAGAGCAAGGCAGAGAUAGGACUUCUGGACUGGGAUGAGAAGGGAAAGGGAGAGGGGAGAUGGGUGGGGAGCCGCAUAGGGACUGUGUAUGUGGGGAUAUGAAUACACACACAAACACAGCAAUGUUUGUCUAAAGAACAAAACAAUAUUCGGGAACUGAAAUAGCUUAUGAAGUACCCGACUGUACUACUUGGAGGGAGCCCUCUUACAUGUAGUUGUUUACUUGAAAUCAGGCUGCAACAGAGAAUCCUUUCCCUGACUCUGAUUACAACAUUCCUUCCUUAGGUGGUUUGGAGCAAAAGUUACCCAACUUUUGUUGACUUUUGUGAGUGUAGGCUGGUAGAGCAUAUUCUGUACAGAUGUGUGACAUCUCAGCUGACAUUUUACUUUGCCAGAUCUCCAUGAAAAUAAUCCACCUUUUGCCUUUCUCAGCAGAAAUCAGAGCAACGUUAUUCUUCUGUGUCUGGGGCCAGUGACUCUUUCCCUAUGCUGUGGAGGGAGAUACUCUGACUCAGAAUUGUAGCACUUCAGCCUGAGGAAUGAUGGGCGGAGUUCAGAUGAAGAGGGCUUCCUGCCCUAGAGGUCUUUCCUUGGCUGCAAGCAUAGCUGUGCUCUGUGCUGGGCCACUAUGAUGGGAUGAAGAGGCGCUGUGAGACUUGGAAGGGCUAAUCCCUUAGUUAAGAGCUUUAGAAGUUAGAACUGGGCCAGAAGAAUUGGAAAGAGCAAGCAUUUGAAAAGACUUUACUUGUGUGGCAGACUUCAUUAUGAGGUUAUUUAAUAGGCCAUUAACAAACAGAUUAGUUGACAAAAUCUUAAUUAAUAAGUUACAGGAUUAUUCUUCUAACCUCCAUCUGUCCAUCUCCUAUUUCAUCCCAGGGACUCCAUAUGCUCCUUAAGCUAAAUAUAUCCGAUGCAAUGAAAUUCAAUCUUUUUAUUAAAAUGAAAGCAGGCAGAUGCAGAACUUAGUGCUAUGCCUAAUAAUAAUAGCAGACAUUAUUUGAAUGUUUCUUGAUGUCAUACAAUAUUCUGGAUGCAUUGAAGGUAGUCAGUUGUUUACAACAUCUUUAUGAGAUAAGUGUUAUGUAUCUCCAUUUGCAGUUGAGGAAACUGAGUCCCAGGAUUUUUAAGCAAAGCUCCCUUUGUCACAUAAGCGAGAAGGAACAUUGAUGAGAGUCAACCCCAGGCAAUGUGGCCUCAGAAUCAAUUAGAAGGAAGAAAACCCCAGGGGAGGGAGACCUAUGAGUCAGAUUCAUGAGAUAAUAAGAGUAUUAAUGAUAUUUCUCUCUGUUCACGGAGUGCCACACACUGUUCUUUUUCAGUAUUUAUUUGAAAAGUGGAGUCAUAGAGAAAGGAAGAGAGACAGAUAGAGAGGGAUAUACAGAGAGCUGCAGAGAGAAAUUCUUCAUCCACUGGUUCAUUAACCAAAUAGCUUUAAUAGCCAGGGCUGGGCCACAUUGAAGCCAGGAGCUGGAAAUUCCAAGCAGAUCUUCCCCAUGGGUGGUGGGCCCGUGUACUUGGGCCUUCUGCUGCUGCUUUCCCAGGUAUCUUAGCAGGAAGCAGCACUGGAAGCAUGGAGUAGCCAGGUCUGAUGUGGGACGCCAGUGUCACAAGCAGCAGUUAUAUAACAAUGUCUGACUCCAAACACUGUUCUAAGUACUUCACAUGGAUGGAUACACUUGAGACAGGCUGUGUCCAUACUAGAAGAAAUUGUAGAAAUCUUCUGUAGGGCAGCAGCCUUUAGGUACAGUUGAUUUUAGCCCACUAUCAAGCCUUUGUCAUCCUUGCCACACUGUGGGUUUUUUGAGUUAGGAACUGUGUCUUAUUCAUGUUUGUUGCAAGUUUCUGAUGAAUUGCCUGCGAUUUACUAGUUAAACUCUUAAAAAAGUUUGCUAAAUGUAUUCCUUGAUGGGAUGGGGUAAGAUGAUUUAGUAUCUGUUAAUUCCUAAUCUUCUUUGUGCUGCAACCCCUGUCUUUGGGCUGCCCAAAGUACUUUAUAGAUCCUGUGGUUUAAGGAGUGUUGAUUGUGGGCUGGCAAUGUAGUGCAGCAGGUUAAGUCACCACUUGUGAUACCUGUAUCACCUAUCAGACUGCUGGUUUGAAGCUUGACUGCUCCAGUUCCAAUCCAGUUUUUGGUAAUAUGUCUGGAACAGCAGCAAAUGAUGGUUCAUGUACUUUGUUCUCUGCCAUCCAUGUGGGAGACCCAGAUGGAAUUUCUGGCUGGCUCCUGGCUUUAGCAUGUCAUAGAUCUGGCGGUUGCAGCCUUUUGAGAAGUGAACCGCUGGAUGGAUGAUUGAUCUCUUCCUUUCUCUCUCUCUCUCUUGCUCUGCAUUUUAAAUAAAUAAAUAUGUAAAUAAAUAAAUUUUUAAAAAAGAAGUGCUGAGUCUGUGAGACAGCAGACAUGCAUCUGUUCUUUGUGUGCCUCCUUUUCUCAAGGGUAAAGUGGGAUGAACAUUGAUAGAAUUUACACUGGACCACUUUUUCUUAGUAACUUUGGAGAGAAGAUGAAGAAGUAAUAGAAGGCCUAGAACUAUUUUUAAUUUUGAGCUAGGAGAGAACUGUAUCAUGCUGCUUUAUUUUUCUCAUUUUCUGUGUAUCGUAUUUAAAUAAAACGCAAGAAUUUGUUUUCCAAGGUGGGUGUUUAGUGCACUGGUUAACAUAGCACUUGAAACACCUGAUCCCAUUUUGGAGUGCCAAGUUCAAGUCCUAAAUCCUUCAUUUCUUAACCAGCUUUUUGCUAAUGUACACCCUGGCAGACAGCAGGUGAUAACUGAAGUACCACACAUUUGGAAGACAUGGAUAGAGUUCCAGGCUCCUGGCUUGAGUCUGACCCAGUACCCACUGUUGUGGGCAUUUAGGGGUAUACCAGUGUCUUUCCCUGCCUUUCAAGUGAAAGAUAAAUUGCUAAAAUCUUAAAAAAAAGAAUGUAUUUUCCCUUGUAUCCUACAAAAAACUUCUUUUGCUCUAUGUAGAUCUUAUUUGUAUAUUUUGCAAAUUUUCUUCUAAAUCUCAAUAUGAAACCUUGCUGAGCACUGCCAUCAGGCUGUCUACUUUGCUCCCAUUCCAUGAUAUAUCCCCUUACAUCAUCUUCAGUUCACUGUAACUGCUCAUAAACCCCCAGGCUGCCUCCCCAUUUUGCAUCCUUGUGUUCUUUCUAAGAAACUUGGUCAUGGCCAUAUGAACUUUCUUUAGCAGCAUCCUAAUCUUUUAAGAGACUUAAUAUGCAGAUUGUGGAGUAGUUGAUUUUUGUUCUGAGCCUUAGCCUUAAGUGGGUUAUUCUAUGAAGCUGAUUUUGGGUAGUGGGUAGAAUUUUGCUGGAUCAGAAGUUGGGGUGGGGGAGUUUGAUGUUAGGGAAAUAAGGCUGUCACUGCCCUUUAGUCUGUGCCCUACCUUGCAACCCAUGCCUGUCAUUGUAUUCAUUUUUAGAACUCUGGAGUGAAGACAGUAGUGAUGGAAUGAAGGAAAGAAUUUUUCUUAGAGAAUUUAAGAAGCUGACUUUUUUUCCUAACCUAAGCUUUGCCUUCUCACCUCCACUCUUCCUGCCCAUUUGUUCCUACUUUUCAAUCUGGUACUUUUAGGUUUUUCCUUUCUUUUCUUAUACUACUUUUGUCCUAUACCCAGCCUUGCUCCAAAAAGGAGUAGUGAAUACAAAUUAUGAACUAGUGAAUAUAAAUUAUGAGCUAAUGAUUCAGAGAAAAUUCAUAUCCAGUGUGGAACAUAGAAAAGAAAAAUCCAUUUAAAAAGAGACACCAUGCAGAAUUCCUCUAGAUGACUUUUCUUUCUUCAGAGCUGCAUCAACAGUAAUUUAUUCCUUCUGAUAAUGUGACACAAAAUAAAUACUUCUAGGUUUCCUGAUUUACAUUCUCUGUUGGUUCGAGAGGCUGGCAGGUUGUUAGAGCAGGGGAAGAGCAUCUGUCUUCUAUUCAUUUGUGCUGAGCUUCAGGUAAACUGGAAAGAGAGGAAAUUUUUGCACAGGAAAAAUGAAGUUGUUGGAGGAUUGAGGGAAGGGAAUCUAGAGUGUAGAGGGGAAUAAGUGCAAGGCAGUCUUCACAGGGAUGUUUAGAAAGAAAACCAAAUGAGAGCUAAAUCAGAGAGCCAAAAAAAGGAAGAACUUGAAGAUAUAGGUGGGAAGAUGGGAAAUUUGCAUCAUCUCAAGGAAUUAUGAGUAAUCUUAUAACAUCUUUUUGAUGAAGUUGUAGGGAAAAAGGAUUUUGUACUCAUAGUUGGUAGAAAUAUAAUACAGUAGAGUCUUUUUGGAGGGUAAUUUGGCAGUUCUACCUGCAAAAUUUUUAAAUGCAAAUGUUCUUUGGUGGGAUUCAACUAGAGAAAUUUUUCCUACAUAUAUUUGGUAAAGUACAUAAAGACUUUGUAAAGUUCUUUCUAAUACUGCUUGUAAUGGGAAUAAAAUAGAAACAACCUAAUUAUAUAUUAAUAAGGAACUGAUAUUGUGAUACAUGCAUAUAAUAGAAUAAUAAAUAUGGAAUGGUUUGAAAAAUGAUUUGGGUACAGAGUACUUAUGUAUAAAAUAAUGUACAGAAAAUAUACCUAUUUGGAAAAAUACAUAUAUACAUAUAUAUAUCUUUAUGAAGGUACUUCAAAGGUUCAUGAGAAAUGACGUUAAAAGAGAGGUUGUUUUGAUGCUCAAAAAUUGAAAUCCUUCGAUAGUUUUUUGUGAUAUACAUUUUAUACAAACUUUUUGGACAUGCCUUCUAUGUAUGGAUUUCAAAAUUUGUUGCACCAAAACAAGUAGUUUUUUUUUUUUUUAAAGAUUCAUUUAUUCUUUUUGAAAGUCAGAGUUACAGUGAGAGAGGGACAGAGGGAUCUCCAUCUGCUGGUUCAUUCCUCAGGUGGCUGCAAUGGCCAGCACUGAGCCAGGCUAAAACCAGGAUCCAGGAACUUCAUCUGGGUCUUUCACAUGGGUGGCAGUGGGUGGCAGUGUCCCAAACACCUGGGCCAUUCUCCACUGCUUUUCUCAGGCCAUUAGCAGGGAGCUGGGUCAGAUGUGGAGCAGCUAGGACAUGAACCACUGCAAAAAGGAUGCCACAACACCAGCCACUAUACAACAACACCCGCCCCAAACUUAUAUUUUAAUUCAUUUUUUCAUGAUGUUUAAAGCAGCCUUGUAUGCAUGCAUAUAAGACUUUCAGAAGUAUGUAAGAAACUGUUAAGAGCAGUUUCUUCUGGGAAAUUUGAGUAGGAUAGAAAGAAGGGAGUAACACUUUUAUUUUAUGUUCUGCUGCAAUAUUUGAAUAGCUUAUAUGUGAUAUAUUAUUUUUAAAGAUUUAUUGAUGUUAUUUGAGAGGUGGAGCCUCAGAGAGAAAGAGAGAGAGGGAGAGAGAGAGAGAGAGAAAGUGGUAGAAAGAGAGAGCGAGUGAGCGAGAGAUUUAUCUUCCAUCCACUGGUUCUCUCCCCAAAUUGCUGCAACAUCUAGGAUAGACCAGGCUGAAACCUUGAGUCAGGAAACUCAUCUGGGUCUCUCACGUGUGUGGUAGGGAUUCUAGCACUGGGGCCAUCUUACACGGCCUUCCCAGGUGUUAGCACAGGAAGCUGGAUCAGAAGAAUAGCCGGAACUGAAACACCACAAUUCUGGCUCCCCCAGAUAUUAUGUUUAUAAUGAAAAAUUCUGUCUGGUUUUAAAAUGAUAAUUUGUAUAUCCUGGAACAGAAAAAGGACAUUAGGUAAAAAGUACAGAAAUGCAAAUAAAUGAGAUUUAUUCAAUAAUGCUAUAUCAAUAUAGCUUCUUUAAUUUUAAUAUAAGAUGAUAAUAAAGGGGCCAGCACUGUGGCAUAGCAGAUAAAGCCACCACCUGUAGUGCCCGUAUCCCAUAUGAGUGCCAGUUUGAGUCCUGGCUUCUACACUUCUGAUUCUGCUCUAUGCUAUGGCCCGGGAAAGCAGUGGAAGAUGGCUCAAGUCCUUGGGCCCCUGCACCGGCAUGGGGGACCCGGAGGAAGCUCCUGGCUCCUGGCUUCAGAUCAGUGCUACAGAAGAGAAGAUGUUUAAAAGUGUUUAAACAAUUCUUUAAGUGAGUAAGAAGGAGUGCACAGAGAGUAGAUGUAAGUGGUCAGUGUAAUCCAUUUAACCAGCUCUGUGAGUGGUCAUUUCUGUAAGAUCUUUUUCCUUUAAGUUGGCACCACAGGAGGAAAACCAGGGCACUCCACUCCUAGACGUUUUCAAGUUGUAUUUCUUCCCUCCUUAUGCAUCAGGGCGGAUUGUAGCAGUUUGUUGAGUUCUUUGCAGGGUUGGGAUUAGGGAACAGAGACCUGCCAUCUCUUUGCCUUUGACAUUAAGACAUUGUUAAAUUAAUUUUUUGAAUUAAUUUAUAUCUUCAACAGAGGGAGGCAUUUUCAUUUCACCUUUCCAGGUAGUAGAGGGAGAUCUGUACACCCUCAUUCCAGUUGAUUCAGGCACCAAGUUUGAAGAAAGGGGUCCUCUGUAGUGUCGUUACAGCCAGCUCCUUCAUCCUUCUUUGAUUUCCUCUAACUUUGGCUUCUGGGCCAUUUUACUCCUAUUGUUUUACUUCUAUCCUGUUUCUGUUGCCAUCACAUACUAAUUCCCACAUCACAGCACUCACAAUUUUAUAUUGUGACAAAAGUGUGCACAUGGGAAGAGAGCAGAAUGUUGUUAGUCUGUAGAGGAAUUUUAAAACAGUGAUCAGUGGGGCAGGUGUUGUGGUGCAGCAGGUCAAACCACCACUUAAGUGCCCAAAUCCCAUUUUGGAAUGCAAGUUGAAAUCCUGUCCACUCUGUUACCAAACCAGCUUUCCUCUAAUGCAUCCUGGAAGGCAGUGGAUGGUAGCUCAAGUGCUUAUGUCUCUGUCACCCAUGUCAGAGAGCCAGAUGGUGUUCCUGGGUCAGUUAUGGCUAUUUUGACCAUUUGGAACAUGAGCCAUCUCUCUGUCUCUCUCUGUCUCUGUCUCUCUCUGUCAUUCUGCCUUUCAAAUAGAUAAAAAUGAGUAAACAUUUAAAAAAUAAAACAACUAGUUUUGUUAGAUAUUAGUCUACUAAUAUCUAGCCUGCUUCUUAAUCGCUUUCUGUACUGGGAAUUUUAAACAACAUUCAUUGUAAAUUAUUUCUCCAAAAAUCUAUUGAGUCAUCCACUCCAGAAACCUGAAAGUCAUCCUUAAUGGCUGCUUUUCUUAGCUCUCAUAUCCAACCCAUCACCCAGUGUAGCUUAUUUCUGAUUACUCUUUAUUUCCUGGUUCUGUAAGUUUCUCUUCCCUUUACUCUCAUUGCUGCUGCCUGUGUGCAGGCCUCACCAUUGCUCUCCAAGAUGAAACCAGUCUCCUGCCUUCUUUCUGUACCUGGAAAUCCACCGUAUAGGAAGUUACCAGGAAGCCCCUCUGUCCAUCAGGAUCUCUGUUCUCAUUGAAACCCUCUGAUGUCUCCCCAUCAUGUGCAAAUCAAAGACCAAGCCAUCUUGUAGAAUACCUGACUGUCUGUAUCCACCACUCUUAGACUUCAACUUUGUACUUGCCAAACACAAUUCCCCGUGCUUGCUAUGUUCUUCAGGCUGUUUUUGCUGUUGGUAGCCACACUGCUUGGAAUGGUCCCCUCCCUGCUUUUCCUUACUGACUUCCUCAUUCUGAAGGCUCAGCUCAGAUGUUACCUCCUCCAAGAAACCUUCAAUGACCAUCCCAGGACAGGGCAAGUAACCUUUCAAAGAGGAUUCUCUAGGCUAAUCAUGCAUGUAUCAUGUUGGGCCAUUAUCUAUGUAUGAUAUGGCUUUCUUCCCAGCAUAAGUGUCCUGGGGCAAAAAUUGUCAUCCAACUUCAUAUUAUUGUGCCAAGUUUGAUGCUCAACAUGACUUAUACUACCUAAAGUAAUGUAAAUGCUAUGUGAAUGGUUGUUAUAUUCUAUUGUGUGGGAAAUAAUGGCAAGAAAAUGUUUUUACAUGAUAAGUAUAGAUGCAUUUUUUUCCAGAUGUUUUCAAUCUGCACUUGGUGGUUGAAUCCACGGAUGCAGAACUCAUGGAUAUGGAUGGCCAGCUGUAGUUUCUGUGGAGAUGGAGGACAUGACAGUCCUGAGACAGGACUUUGGGGGGUUGUAAAGUACUGUCUACCUUGAGGGUCUACUUGAAUUCUAAUUUUCUCUUUUUAAAUCAUGAUAGCCAAACACUAAAAUGCAUGGGACCUUUCAGAAUUAUGUUACCCAACACAGUGGCCACAACCACUUAUGGUUUUUUAAAUUUGAAAGGAAUGAAAUAAAAGCUCAGUUCCUUAGACAAAUUUGCCAAACUUCAAGUUCUCAAUAGUCACACUUUACAUAUUGGACUUGUGACACACACAGAACAUUACCAUCUUUGCAGAGAGUAUGGUUGGACACCACUGUUUUAGAAUGAGAGAAUCUUGGGGGCUGGCACUGUGGUGCAUGCCGCGAGCGUCUCGGGGAGUGUGGCCGGCAGACUCAACCCAGGGCCCGCGACGACGGUUUCUCGGGCAAGAAAAGAACGAACGACGUUUAUCGCCCUUCAGUAGACUUUUUAUUAGAGAAAGUAGACGUGACAGAGGUAGAGAGGAAGGAGGAAAGGAGAGGAGAGAAAAAGAGCUUCCUCUUUACACCCGCGGCUUAUAUACAAAAUGCGACCAAUCAGGAGCAAGCUAGAGUCCAUGCAUCAAGCACACCAAUCCGGUCUCUGUUCACAUGAAGGGCACGCGUCCUUCGGCCAAUCGGGUGAGGUGUCACGCAGCAGGCAGGCAGGCAGACUGACUGCGGGGGUCCUGCUGCCAUCUUGUUGUUUACUGCGACCUCGAUCCCUCCUCCUCCGGAGAGCCCCGCCCAUAGGAAAGCCCCCCGGUCAAAACCGAAAGUAAAAACCUCCGCCUAGCGAUGCCGCGGACUAUUCCCUGACAGGUGCAGUGGGUUAAACUGGCAUAUGCUGCACCACCAUCCCAUAUGGGCGCAAGUUCAAGUCUCGGCUGCUCUGUUUCCGAUCCAGUUCCCUGCUAAUGUGCCUGGGAAAGCAAUGGAGGAUGUCCCAAGUGUUGUACCUGAAGGAGGCUCCUGGUUCCUGACUUCAGCCUAGUCCAGCCCCAGCUAUCGCAGCCAUUUGGGAAGUGAAUGAGCUGAUGGAAGAUCCCUCUCUGUCUCUCCCUCUUUCUCUGUAAUGCUGAAUUAUAAAUAAAUAAAUAAAUCUUAAAAAGAAACAGAAUGGGAGAGCCUUGAUGAGUAAUAUCAAAGUCACCUUACAUUAGCGGAAGCUUAAAUUAUGAAAUAAGAAUUAUUUUAAUUUUUAGGUUUUGUUUUUUAAAAUCAGAAUUAUAGAGAGAAGAGAUAGCGAGAGAGACACAGAGACAUCGUCCAUCCACUAGUUUACUCCCCCAGAUGGCUUCAAUGGCCAGUACUGUUCGAGGCAAACCCCAGGAUCCAGGAGCUUCGUCUGGGUCUCCAACAUGGGUAGCACGGACCCAAACACUUGGGCCAUCUUCUGCUGGUUUCCUAGGCCAUUAGCAGGGAGUUGAAUUGAAAAGUGGCAUAGUCAGGCCAGCACCAUGGCUCAUUUGGUUAAUCCUCCGCCUGUGGCGCCAGCAUCCCAUAUGGGCGCCGGGUUCUAGUCCCGGUUGCUCCUUUUCCAGUCCAGCUCUCUUCUGUGGCCCGGGAAGGCAGUGGAGGAUGGCCCAAGUGCUUGGGCUCUGCACCCGCAUGGGAGACCAGGAGGAAGCACCUGGCUCCUGGCUUCGGAUCAGAACAGUGUGCUGGCCAUAGCGGCCAUUUGGGUAGUGAACCAAUGGAAGGAAGACUUUACUCUCUCUCUCUCUCACUGUCUAACUCUAUCUGUCAAAUAAAUUUAGAAAAAAAAAAAAAAGAAAAGAAAAAGUGGCACAGCCGCAACAUAAAGCAUAUGUUAUGUCAGCAUUGCAGGUGGUGGUUUUACCCACUACACCAGCCCCAAUAAUUUUUUAAAAAUUUAUUUUUUAAAAUUAAUAUGAAGAAAACAGAUUUCCUGUUGUUCAUACAUACAGUUGUAAGAGUAUAAUGGUACUUACCCUCCCUCCCUCACCUCUCUUUCCUUUCUAUUUAAAUUUUUGUCAUAACAUUUUUAAUUUACUUUAUGGUCAUAGGCCUUAUGUUCCAUAAAUAAAGAAUUCGGUAAUUUAAAAAGUAGAGCAUUGUUGAAUAAAAAUAUAGAAGUGCUAUAAAUAAUAAUUAAAUGAGAAAAUGUUAGUUUCACUCAUAUACUUUGAUUAUUUUUUGGAUUCUGUAUUAGCUACCACAAAUCAGAGAAAAUGUGAUGUUUGUCUUUUUGUGUCUGGCUUAUUUCACUAAGCAUAUAAUGGUCUCCAGUUGCACCCAUUCUGCUACAAAUGAUGGAAUUUCAUUCUUUUUUAUAGCUAAGAAGUAUUUGUUGUAUAGAUAGACCACAUUUUCUUUAUCUGAUCAACAACUGGUGAAUUGAGCAGCUAUAAACAUGGAGAUAUAGAUAACUCUUUCAUAUGUUGAUUUCAUUUCUUUUGGGUAUAUUCUCAGGAGUGGGAUAGCGGGGUCAUAUUUUAGAUCUAUCUGAGGACUCUCCAUGUUGUCUUCCAUAGUGGUUGUUCCAGUCUACAUUCCAAUUAACAUUGUAUUAGGGUACUUUUAUCCAUAUCCUUUUCAAUAUUUUUUAUGUUGUGAUUUUUGGAUGAUAGCUGUCUAACUGGGUAGAGGUGAAACUUUAUUUACUUUUUAAAAAAGAUUUAUUUAUUUGAAAGGCAAAGUUGAAGACAGGUGUGGGACAGGAGGGUCUUCCAUCUGCUGGUUCACUCCCCAAAUGGCUGCAACUGCUAGAGCUGGGCCCAUCUGAAGCCAGGAGCCUGGAGCUUCUUCCAGGUCUCCCAUGUGGGUGCAGGGGCCCAAGGAUUUGGGCCAUAUUCUACUGCUUUCCCAAGCCAUAGCAGAGAGCUGGAUUGGAAGUGAAGCAGUCGGGACUGGAACUGGCCCCCACAUGGGAUGCACUGCAGUCAGCGGCUUUACCAACUGUGCCAAAGCACCAGCCCCUAUUGAUGUUCUUACUUAGAUUUUCUUGAUGGUAGUCAUCCUGAGAAUUUUUUCAUGUGUCUGUUGGCCAUUUCCUCCUUUGAAAAAUGCCUGAUCAUAUCUUUUAAUCAUUUCUUAAACUGUAUCAUUUGUUUUAUUAUUGUUGAGUUUCUUGAGCUCCUUAUAAAUUCUGGUUUAAUCCAUUAUCAGAUGCAUGGUUUGCAAAUAUUUAUCCCAUUCCGUAAGUUGCCUCUUCACUUUGUUGAGUGAUUAGUUUGCUGUGCAGAAUCUUCUUCGCUUGAUGUCAUCCCAUUUGUAUAUUUUGCUUUUAUUGUCUGUGCUCUGAGAUCUUAUCCCAGAAGUCUUUGCCUAAGCCAAUGUCAAGGUCUUACAGUGUUUUCUCUAGUUAUUUGAUGGUUUCAAGUCUUAAGUUUAGACCUUUGAUCCAUUGUGAGUUGAUUUUUAUAUAUGGUGUAAGGUAGGGAUCUUGUUUCAUAUAUAGAUUCUGUUUUGUCAAUACCAUUUGUUGAAAAAACUCCUUUCUCCAGAGAGUGAUGUUAGCUUGCUUGUUAAAAAUUAGUUGGUUUUAGAUAUGUGGAUUAAUUUCUGGAAUGUCCAUUCUGUUCCACUGGUCCACCUAUCUAUUUUUGUGCCAGUACGAGGUUGUUUUGAUUAUAACAUCUCUACAGAAUGUCUUGACGUCUAGUAUUUAGGUGCCUCCAGCUUUGUUUUAAUUUUUUAAGAUUGCUUUGGCUAUUUAGCAUCUCAUGUGUUUCCAUACGAACUUUAGAAUCGUUUUUUCUAGAUCUGAGAAGAAGGUUCUUGGUAUUUUGUUUGGAAUCACAUUGAAUCUGUAAAUGGCUUUAGGUAAUAUGAACAUUUUGAUGUGAUUACUUCUUCCAAGCCAUGAACAUGGAAGAUUUUUCCAUUGUUUGUAUCUUUUUUUUUUUAAAGAUUUAUUUAUUUAUUUGAAAGGCAGAGUUAGAGAGAGACAUAGGUAGAGACAGAGAGAGAGGUCUUCCAUCCACUGGUUCACUCCCCAGAUGGCCACAAUGGCCGGAGCUGCGCUAAUCCGAAGCCAGGAGCCAGAAGCUUCUUCCGGGUCUCCCACGUGGGUACAGGGGCCCAAGGACUUGGGCCAUCUUCCACUGCUUUCCCAGGCCAUAGCAGAGAGCCUGUUCGGAAGAGGAGCAACCGGGACUAGAACCAGCGCCCAUAUGGGAUGCCGGCACUUCAGGCCAGGGCGUUAGCCCGCUGCGCUAUAGCACCUGCCCCUGUUAGUGUCUUUUUCUAUUUCUUCCCUUAAUGCUUUGUAAUUUUCAUUGUAGAGGUCUUUCAUGUCUUUGGUUACAUGCUUGCCAAGUACUUACACUUUUCAUAGCUAUUGUGAAUGAGAGUGUUCUUGUAAGUGCUUUCUUAGCGAUAGGAUUAUUAGUGGCUUUCUGGGAACUAUAUAAGAAAUGGUGUACAUAACAGUAUGUCAUCUUAUUUGAGCAUAUCUGUAUUUUUAGGGAUAACAUUCAGACACUAAUAAUGUUCUAAUAUAUAUGAAAAUGUUUUCUUAUACAACUAAAAGGAGAAAGGGAAGAAUGUGACUUGAAUAAGUGGAAUUAUUUAUUUUUCUGCUUCACAUUAUUAUACAAAUUCAAAGCAGCUAAAAUGUGUCCUGGAAGUAAAUAUUUAUAUUUCUUAAGAAAAGCUAUACAUCCUUUCUUUGAAUGCAGAGGUGUAUUGUUGGGUAGUGUUAAAAAAAAAACUUUGAAAUUAAAAUAAAAAUGGAAGUCAAUACCUAUUUUCUUUUUUUAAAGAAUUUAUUUAUUUUAUUUGAAAUGUAGAGUUAUAUAUAGAGAGAGAUGGAGAGACAAAGAGAAAUCUUCUAUCUUCUGGUUUACUCCCCAAAUGAUCACAAUGGCUGGGAUUGGAUCAGGCUGAAGCCAGGAGCCCAGAGCUUCCUCUGAGUAUCCUUCUUGGGUGCAGGUGCCUAAGGACUUGGGCCAUCUCCUUCUGCUUUCCCAGGUGCAUUCUCAGGAAACUGGAUUGGAAAUGGAGCAGCCAGGACUCUAACUGGUGCCCAUAUGGAAUGCCACAACUGCAGGUGGCCCAAGUAUCUACUUUCCCCUUUUCCUUCCCAGUUGCCAUCUCUAUCGGACUUCCAGCAGUCAGAGUGGCCAAAGGUUGCUGCUCUAAGAAGUUCUUAGAAUGUCAUGGAACUCGCUAGAAUCUCUUAUUGUGGAGUAGCUACUUUGUAUAUGUUGGAUACCAAUACCUUAGAUGAAUGGGAUGUUUGGAAUGAUUGUUCUGAAAGAAAAUACAAGGAUUUACCUGUGAUUGCCAUCCAUAGAAAAUACGGUGUGAAAUCACCCCAAGAUUAAUGAUCCUGCCUGGUGUCUGAUACUCAGUUCAGAGGCUACAGGAGGUGGGACCUUAUCAUGAUUUGGGGCAGCUGUUUGAUUUUAUAUCAAUUGGUUCUUAUUGUAACCUGUUCACAACAGUGCCUGAGUAAGUUCUCAGGUUUUAAACAUAAUUGGGGGACAGAAUGUGAGAUUCAGUGGGAGAGGGUGUUGAAUUUCUGCUUUUCCCUUUCUGUCUGUCUUUCUGGAUCCAAAAGAGUACCUGAAAGUUGGACUGUAGUGUAAAACCAUUAAUGAAAGAAUGGAGAAUGAAGGAUGUUUAUUCCAGACAAUCUGCCCAAUGUUUUUGUAGUACUGGUUAACCUUUGUAUUUACAAGUGAGUCAUUAGAAUUUCAGCCACCAUUGUGGCUUAGCAGAUUAAGCUUUCGUCUGCAGUUCCAGCAUGCUAUAAAGGUGCUGGCAUCCUAUGUAGGCAUUGGCAUCCUAUACGGGUGCCACCAGUUGAAUCCUGGUUGAUUCACUUCCAAUCUAGCUCCCUGCUACUGUACCUAAGAAAGCAGCAGAGUUCUCUCACAUUGGCCCCUGCACCCAUGUGGGAGGCCCAGAAGAAGCUCCUGGCUUUGGCCUGGCCCAGCUCUGGCCAUUGUGGCUAUUUGGAGAAUGAAACAAAGGCUGGAAGACCUCUUUCUUUCUCUCUCUGUCCCUCUCUCUCUCUGUAACUCUGCCUUUCAAAUAAAUAAAACAAAUUUUAAAAAAAAGGAAUUUCAGGUAUCAUUUGAUUUUUUUUUUUUGAGAUUGUUUGAGAUGUUCAUGGUCUUUUAAAAAUUUUCAACUCUGUCUUAUUACAAAGAAAGGCUCAUUUUAAACACUUCAAGUUGUCCUUUGAGAAAGCCUAGUGGUAUGACCUUGGAAUUUGAAAGAAACUCUGCUCACCAUUUGGACAAGUUUAAGUGUUUGCACCUUAAUUUUAUAAUGUGUAAAAUGGAAAUAGUAAUGCUUACCUUAUAAGCUAGAGAAGUACAAAUUCUAGAGGUGCAAAAAAACCUUGCUAAUUUCAGAAAGACCUUUAGCUAAUUAACAUACCAUUCUCUCUGGUCAUGUUUAUAUUUGGCCAUAUGUAUAGCUAAUUCAAAAGGUUCAUGGAGGCCGGUGCCGCGGCUCACUAGGCUAAUCCUCCGCCUCGCGGCGCCGGCACACCAGGUUCUAGUCCCGGUCGGGGCGCCGGAUUCUGUCCCGGUUGCCCCUCUUCCAGGCCAGCUCUCUGCUGUGGCCAGGGAGUGCAGUGGAGGAUGGCCCAAGUGCUUGGGCCCUGCACCCCAUGGGGGACCAGGAUAAGUACCUGGCUCCUGCCAUUGGAUCAGUGCGGUGCACCGGCUGCAGCGCGCUAGCUGUGGUAGUCAUUGGAGGGUGAACCAACAGCAAAGGAAGACCUUUCUCUCUGUCUCUCUCUCACUGCCUGUCAAAAAAAAAAAAAAAAAGUUCAUGGAAAAUGAAAAAAAUAUGUCAUUUUGAUACAAAAAUUGUUUGAAAUCCAUGCAUAGUUUUUUAAUAAUAUGCAUUCCCAUGAAAUUUUUAAAAAUCUGUACUUAUUUAUGUAAUUGAAAGGCAUAGCAAGAGAGAGAGACAGGCAGAUAGUGAGGAGGAGAUUAUCUGUCUGAUGAUUUACUCCUCCAAUGGCUACAAGAACUAGGACUGGGUCAAGCCAGGAGCCAGGAACUCCAUCUGAAUCUCCCACCUGAAUGGCAGGGAUUCAGGUGUCUAAGUAAUUAUCUACUCCUUCUCAAGAGCGUCAGCGCGGAGUUGGAUCCGUAGUAGAGAAUUCAGACUAGAACUCCAGUUGAGAGUGAGGGCAGCCUAAACAGUGACUCAACAUGCAGUGUCAUAACACGUGUCCCUUCAUGAACUUUUUUUUAAAAGAUUCUAUUUAUUUAUUUGAGAAGUAGUGUUACAGAGAGAGCGACAGAGAGACAGAUAGAGGUCUUCCAUCUGCUGGAUCACUGACCUGAUGGCUGCAAAGGCCAGAGCUGGGCUGAUGUGAAGCCACGAGCUUCCUUUGGAUCUCUCCUGUGGGUGCAGGGGCCCACGCACUUGGACCAUCUACUACUGCUUUCCCAGGCCAUAGCAGAGAGCUGGGUCAGAAGAGGAGCAGCCAGGACAUUAGCCGGACCCAUAUGGGAUGCUGGCGCUGCAGGCGGAGGCUUAGCCCACUACACUGCAGCGUUGGCCCCAAACUUUGGUGGUCCUUUCCUGUUUGUUUUACUCUGUAUAUUUACAGAGUUAAAACUGUUCAGGAGGUCCGGCGCCGCGGCUCACUAGGCUAAUCCUCCGCCUUGUGGUGCCGGGACACUAGUCCUGGUUGGGGCACCAGAUUCUGUCCCGGUUGCCCCUCUUCCAGGCCAGCUCUCUGCUGUGGCCCGGGAGUGCAGUGGAAGAUGGCCCAAGUGCUUGGGCCCUGCACCCCAUGGGAGACCAGGAGAAGCACCUGGCUCCUGCCAUCAGAUCGGCGCGAUGCACCCGCCGCAGCGCGCCUGCCGUGGCGCCAUUGGAGGGUGAACCAACGGCAAAAGGAAGACCUUUCUCUCUGUCUCUCUCUCUCACUGUCCACUCUGCCUGUGGAAAAAAAAAAACAAAAAACAAAAAACAAAAAACAAAAAACAAAAAAAACUGUUCAGGAGAAAGGGCUCUACUGAAAUGUGAGAUAAUCUCAGAAUCUAUACUGCUAGAGAAUUAAUCAGAAAAUAAAAUGGGAUGUGAUCAAAAAGCUCUGUUUAAAUAGCAAAAGUCUUUUAAAGAUAAAUUGCUGUAUUAUCUAAAAGAAAAUGGAGUUGAAAAACUUGGAAACUUGAACACUGAAAGGAUUAUUCAUUAACAAAUAACAAAUCCCUUGGUUAUUUGUAAGUUUCACUAUUUUCAAUACUAUGAUUUACUAGUUUUAGUCUAACCCAAGAGAAACAACAAAUUGUUUCCAAAAGGUUUUUGGGGACAGACUGCUUAGUUUUGAUUGUCCACAUGCAUUGUUACAGACUGCUUAGUUUUGAUUGUCCACGUGCAUUGUUACAGAGUUGCAAAAGUCAGAUUUGAUGGAACUCUAAAACAUAGGUGCAAUAAUCAAGUAUUUCUGUUUAGAAUAUUACAGUGGUCAUAACAAAGGGAAAUGAAAUUCUUUUUUUAUUUUUGCAUUUUUCAAUGGCUUAAGUACUUUAUUUUUUUUCCCAAAGAAACCUUUUAUUUAAACUUCAUGCAUUUCAAAAGUACAGCUUUAGGAAUGUAGAAAUUCUUCCCACCAUACCUGCCCUCCUACCCAUUCUCUCACCCCUCCAUCUCCUCCUCUCCUAUUCCCAGUCCCAUUCUCCACUAAGAUCCAUUUUCAAUUAACUUUAUACACAGAAGAGCAGCUCUAUACUAAGUAAAGAGUUCAACAAUUUGAAUAGAAAAAAAAAAAACACCUAUUCCUCAACAGCCAAGAGAA